UCCCUGGUGGUCCAGUGGAUAAGCCUCCAUGUUCCCAAUGUGGAGGGCCCAGGUUCAAUCCCUGGUCAGGAAA
Molecule: transfer RNA, 73 nt
Filed under: Bos taurus (domestic cattle)
Lineage: Eukaryota; Metazoa; Chordata; Mammalia; Artiodactyla; Bovidae
Also listed under: 1 other name
Rfam family: tRNA
About the family: Transfer RNA (tRNA) molecules are approximately 80 nucleotides in length. Their secondary structure includes four short double-helical elements and three loops (D, anti-codon, and T loops).
Source: Rfam by way of RNAcentral